Molecule: ribosomal RNA, 636 nt
Filed under: Acarospora socialis
Lineage: Eukaryota; Fungi; Ascomycota; Lecanoromycetes; Acarosporales; Acarosporaceae
Description: SSU rRNA
Rfam family: Bacterial small subunit ribosomal RNA
Source: RNAcentral
GGUAUUAUUAGUUAAUGCAAGAUCGACUACGCGACUAAAGUUCUAGGUAGAAUAAUGAUGAUGACAGUUUUUUACCUAUAUGUCUUGACCAAGUCUCGUGCCAGCAGUCGCGGUAAUACGUGGAAGACUAGUGUUAUUCAUCUUUAUUAGGUUUAAAGGGUACCUAGACGGUAUUUCUAGCCCAAAAUAGGGUACGGAUUUACUAGAGUUUUAUGUGAGGAGGGGAGUACUCGUGGAGUAGAGAUGAAAUUUUGUUAUACUAUGAGGUAACUGGUAGCGGCGAAAGCAACCUUCUAUGUAUAAACUGACGUUGAGGGACGAAGGCUUGGGUAGCAAAUAGGAUUAGAUACCCUAGUAGUCCAAGCAGACAAUUCUGAAUGCCAUAGAUUCGAUUAUUUUUGAUCUAUAAAUGAAAGUGUAAGCAUUCCACCUUAGGAGUAAUGUGGCAACACAGGAACUGAAAUCAUUAGACCGUUUCUGAAACCAGUAGUGAAGUAUGUUAUUUAAAUUGAUGGUCCACAAAAAACCUUACCACAACUUGAAUAUUUUUAAUUAAUACAAGCGUUGCACGGCUGUCUUCAGUUAAUGUCGUGAGAUUUUGGUUAACUCCAUUAAUUAACGUAAACCCUUACUUUA